UACAGAGGGUGCGAGCGUUAAUCGGAAUUACUGGGCGUAAAGCGUGCGUAGACGGUUAUUUAAGUCGGAUGUGAAAGCCCCGGGCUCAACCUGGGAAUUGCAUUCGAGACUGAAUAGCUAGGGUGCGGUAGAGGGAAGCGGAAUUUCCGGUGUAGCGGUGAAAUGCGCAGAUAUCAGGAGGAACACCGGUGGCGAAGGCGGGUCUCUGGGCCGAUACUGACGCUGAGGAGCGAAAGCGUGGGGAGCGAACAGG
RNAcentral lists this ribosomal RNA (253 nucleotides) under uncultured bacterium. RNAcentral describes it as "partial 16S ribosomal RNA". It matches the Rfam family "Bacterial small subunit ribosomal RNA", at positions 524 to 776 of the family's 1533-position model. The record is from RNAcentral.